GUGCUCACUUUGGCAGCACAUAUACUAAAAUUGGAACGAAACAGAUUAGCACAGCCCCUGCACAAGGAUGACACGCAAAUUUCUGAAGUGUUCCAUAUUUUU
RNAcentral lists this small nuclear RNA (102 nucleotides) under Ursus maritimus (polar bear). Lineage: Eukaryota; Metazoa; Chordata; Mammalia; Carnivora; Ursidae. The record is from RNAcentral.